GGCUUGUUUCGAGUUGCCUGCG
This 22-nucleotide microRNA is filed under the name Scyliorhinus torazame (cloudy catshark). RNAcentral's name for it is "Sto-Mir-1788_5p* (star (passenger))". The record is from RNAcentral. Lineage: Eukaryota; Metazoa; Chordata; Chondrichthyes; Carcharhiniformes; Scyliorhinidae.